GAAUUCGCCCUUAGAGUUUGAUCCUGGCUCAGGACGAACGCUGGCGGCGCGCCUAACACAUGCAAGUCGAACGAGCGAGAGAGAGCUUGCUUUCUCGAGCGAGUGGCGAACGGGUGAGUAACGCGUGAGGAACCUGCCUCAAAGAGGGGGACAACAGUUGGAAACGACUGCUAAUACCGCAUAAGCCCACGGCUCGGCAUCGAGCAGAGGGAAAAGGAGCAAUCCGCUUUGAGAUGGCCUCGCGUCCGAUUAGCUAGUUGGUGAGGUAACGGCCCACCAAGGCAACGAUCGGUAGCCGGACUGAGAGGUUGAACGGCCACAUUGGGACUGAGACACGGCCCAGACUCCUACGGGAGGCAGCAGUGGGGAAUAUUGCACAAUGGGGGAAACCCUGAUGCAGCGACGCCGCGUGGAGGAAGAAGGUCUUCGGAUUGUAAACUCCUGUUGUUGGGGAAGAUAAUGACGGUACCCAACAAGGAAGUGACGGCUAACUACGUGCCAGCAGCCGCGGUAAAACGUAGGUCACAAGCGUUGUCCGGAAUUACUGGGUGUAAAGGGAGCGCAGGCGGGAAGACAAGUUGGAAGUGAAAUCUAUGGGCUCAACCCAUAAACUGCUUUCAAAACUGUUUUUCUUGAGUAGUGCAGAGGUAGGCGGAAUUCCCGGUGUAGCGGUGGGAUGCGUAGAUAUCGGGAGGAACACCAGUGGCGAAGGCGGCCUACUGGGCACCAACUGACGCUGAGGCUCGAAAGUGUGGGUAGCAAACAGGAUUAGAUACCCUGGUAGUCCACACCGUAAACGAUGAU
RNAcentral lists this ribosomal RNA (804 nucleotides) under uncultured bacterium. RNAcentral's name for it is "bacterial SSU rRNA". It matches the Rfam family "Bacterial small subunit ribosomal RNA", at positions 1 to 813 of the family's 1533-position model. The record is from RNAcentral.